CCCUUUAUUACGUAAAAUUGAAACCUGCUUUAAAAAAUCAUUUUUUUAGAAAACAUUUAAACUUUUUCCUUAAAAAAAAAAAACUUAAAGUUUUGAAACUUUUCUCCUUCACUUUCUCCUCUUUUCCUCUUCUUCGACAGACCCACCAUUUUGAGCCAAAAUUCGACUUCAAAGGUUUCUCUUGUGCCACGUCGUUGCAGGUAUGGUGAACGUGGGGCGUGGGUCGUGCUACAAGCGUGGAGGGGUGCAGCAGCUAUUCUCUUUUUUGCUGAAAAGUUAGUUUAGUUUUGGGCUGUUUGGGCUCUAAGAUUAGGUUUAUUUUGAGCUUAUAAUUGGGUUUGUUGUUUUUGUAAUUUUGGACUCUCUUUAAAUUUUUUUUGGGGGUUUUAUUUAUUGGGCUGGAGUUAAGUAGCCCAAGCUAAAAUUGGGUCUUACAAUUUAAGAAUAAGUUUCAAAACUUGAAGAUCACGUCUUGAGAACUUGUUCUUCUAGAACAAAACUUUGGUAACUUUGCUUGUUUUGAGA
Gossypium arboreum is the source of this 525-nucleotide long non-coding RNA. RefSeq lists it as uncharacterized. The transcript is spliced from 2 exons. NCBI's taxonomy places the organism in Eukaryota, Viridiplantae, Streptophyta, Magnoliopsida, Malvales, Malvaceae. The record is from RefSeq and is a predicted model, not a curated record.